GGCUCCCCAUUCGACCCG
RNAcentral lists this small nuclear RNA (18 nucleotides) under Arabidopsis thaliana (thale cress). Its description in RNAcentral is "snRNA_05078". Lineage: Eukaryota; Viridiplantae; Streptophyta; Magnoliopsida; Brassicales; Brassicaceae. The record is from RNAcentral.